CUUAGCAUAUGCGACGACGUGAUAGAGCUUGGAUAGAGCAUGUUGGAGCAUGUGUUGAUUUUCUAACUCGAAAACAGGUAGCGCCGCCGGCUAGUUGUACGGACAUAUCUAGAAGUAUUGUGGAGCGUUUUUUAAACAGAGAAGGUCUGCCAUGACUACUUGGCUGCUCCGUUCUCGCGGCGCGCAACAUCUUCAGUCGUAUUGCCGCUUGAACUGACUGCACCAAGGCAGUCUAGUUCAAGUGUGUGUAUUUGCUGGACUGACUCAGAUGGACCGCACAGUAACUUUGUGACUAGUGCCAGCGUGCUUUGUGCAGCAGUAAAUCUUACGGCGCGCGAUUUUCUUCAUAUACCGGCGCCUCUCUUUCAUGGACACACAGUACAAAAGUACAAGUGUUGGUAAUGUGCCUGACGAGUCGCCCAUGUACCUCCUGUUGCUUGCUCCAACUGCUCGACUGCUAUAAGACAUAGGACCAAGUGCUAAUUCC
Molecule: non-coding RNA, 487 nt
Organism: Dermacentor andersoni
Lineage: Eukaryota; Metazoa; Arthropoda; Arachnida; Ixodida; Ixodidae
Source: RefSeq, a predicted model, not a curated record